Molecule: long non-coding RNA, 429 nt
Organism: Gymnodraco acuticeps
Lineage: Eukaryota; Metazoa; Chordata; Actinopteri; Perciformes; Bathydraconidae
Exons: 3
Source: RefSeq, a predicted model, not a curated record
UUUUCCCCAUCAGGCCCAGAUCUUUUGAAAAUAUCUGGUGGUUGCACCCAUCCUGCAGCUUGAAUGGUCUCAGCUCAGAUCUCUUCAUCAAGUCAGGCUUUACAUCUCAACACAGACUGUGCUUGAGAAUUAAAACCCACCAGAACAAUCCUCCCCGUUAUCAAAGGACAAACGCUGUUUGUUAAGGUCUGCUUUAAGGCCACACCCCCUGAAUAAGCUGGAGAUCACAUGUAAAACUGUUAUUGAUGUAUCCGCCAGGUAUGUUGACUUUACGUCCAUAAAUGUAGAAGCGAAGUGAAAUGUUUCUUCAGCGGUGCCACAUAUAUUUCUGAUUUUGUUUUUUGUUUUUGCGGGGGUGAUUUCCUAAAAACGGUCAAGCAUGGAUGAUUUAAAAGAUAGUGAAAGGUCUUUUAUCGCGGGUUUACCUGA